AGUUUAAUGGGUGCUAUGCGAAUGCCUUUGGAGAGGAUGCGAAGAACUUGUAUUUAUAGAUUAAGAGGACGACGGGCAACUGUUGGUAAAAGGAAGGCAUUCAAAGCAAGUGACCGUUGAGUCAAAAGGCCGCGGGAAAAGCUGUUCAGAUUCGCAUUCAAGAUAGAAAUGUCAAAAGUGUCAAUGUUAUACGAGAUAUUCAAAGGCCGUUUAGGUUCAGUCUAACUAUCCAAGGAGGUUGUUUAUGGCCUCGAUUG
This 257-nucleotide long non-coding RNA is filed under the name Setaria viridis. RNAcentral's name for it is "long non-coding RNA (SVIR_LNC004184)". The record is from RNAcentral. Lineage: Eukaryota; Viridiplantae; Streptophyta; Magnoliopsida; Poales; Poaceae.